This 2575-nucleotide long non-coding RNA is filed under the name Capra hircus (goat). RNAcentral describes it as "lncRNA (ENSCHIG00010007215.1)". Lineage: Eukaryota; Metazoa; Chordata; Mammalia; Artiodactyla; Bovidae. The record is from RNAcentral.
GCCCAUCAGGCUCCUCUGUGCAUGGGAUUUCCCAGGCAAGAAUACUGGAAAUAGGUUGUCAUUCCCUUCUAGAGGGGAUCUUCCUGACCCAGGAACUGCACAUCUCUUGCAUUGACAAGCAGAUUAUUUACCACUGAACCACCCAAGAAGACCCAACACCACCUAUAGCUCCCUAUAAAUAGAGCUUAUAAAAUAUAUCACCUAAAAACUAAUAAACUGCACUUAAAUAUAACCAGUUACGUCCACUUAACAAUUCUGCCAGCUUAAACAAAAAGUACAAAGAUAUAAACCCGAAUAAGACUUAGCCUAUGACUUCAAGGAAUUCACAUGAAGGCAGAAGCAUGUGCAAAUCAAAAUCAUUUGAGAUCACAGAGAAGAGCAAACUCACAAACUCAAAUGGUAACUAGAAUUUGCCAGAUGAAAACUGGGAGGGUGCAAACAAAGGCAUGAAUGUAGAGAACACAAUUAGAUAACCAGAAGUCCUGAGUGGCCAAGCCAGAGGAUUAAGAAGGAAGGAUAAAUGGGCAUGAAAUGAUAGUAACUAAGCCAGGAAAAUGGAGCUUGUAGCUUGCAGCUGGCUUGCAAAGGGCUGCAUAUGCUAUAACAAAGUGUUUGGUCUCUAUUCAGAAGACCACAGAGAACCUCAUUUAUAAUAGUUAUUAGAAAGUUAACUGAUGACAAUGUGGAAAACAGAUUUAAACGGAGACUGGGAGAAGAUUAGAAGAUAUGGGAACACUAAAGCAAUAAUUAGGAUAUUACUGCACCAAUGCAAGUGAAAUGUAAUGAAGUCAGGAAUAAUACAAACAACUAAACAGUAGCAGCGGGAGCAACAACCUAUACCAACUUAGCAGCAACUGUGUGUCCAUCUAGUUGACCGUAAGUCAAGGAAAAGGCAAUAGGGGAAAUAGAGAAAAAGAAUGCAAACAAGAAGUCUUUAGAAUAUAAUCAAAAGGACAUUGACUACUGACUAUUCAUACCCCACAGAGGAACUUUACUUACAAACUAAGUCUGCCUUCCUAAACUGGUAAAAUAUAAAAUGCCUUAGUUCACUUAAUAGUUGUUACAAACUUAAUUUUAACUAUAUAAAAAAUUUCAGGUAUCUUGCACAGGAAUUAUUUCAGUCUGAAAAUAUCACUAUGGCCACAAGAAAAGCAAAGAAACAAAUACAGAACUAAAACAGAGUUUUCACCUGAAACUAACACAACAUUGUUACUCACCUAUACGCCAAAGUAAAAAUAAAAGUUAAAAAAAAAAAGUAGUUUCCAGUCAGAAAACAAUGAUCUUGGUAUAUCCAAGUUUGGAUGAGUCUAAUUAAUAUGCCUUAGUUAGAAACCCUGAAAAUAUAUGUAAAUAGUAGAAAUAGUCAUAAACACUACUUAAAUUAAAUAUGGGAUGGGAGAAAAAGAGCUAUCAAAAAUCUUUGGGCUAUGAACAAUUCAGCAAGCUGAACACAUAAUUACGACAACAUAUAGUUGGUAUUUUUCAUGAAAUCAACAUGAGGUUUCGUUCAGCACAGGAAAAAAUCUGAUGAGGUUUACAGAUCCAAUUUCGAUUUAAUAAAUACAUUAAUAUAGGGAAAUAAGAAUGGCAGCUACUCUUGUUUCAACAUGCAGAUCAACCUUUACAAAAAUAUGUUUGCUGAACUGUCACUUUAUAUUAUAGAACUGCUAAAACAGUGGUGUUUCUUUCAAUAAACUGAGUCAUGAUUACCUCUAUAAAGAAAGUUAUUGACUUNAACGAAAGUUAUUGACUUUCACAAUGCUGGCAAGAUGUCUUAUCUUUUAAAUUCAAAGUUAGCUGAUUGUGGAUACAGGUUAAGUUUAACAAUAAAAUCCGAUAAACACAUGUCCCACUAAAUUUAAUGUUCAAACUUAUAUUUGUCAUGUUCUAAUAAUCACCUGAAGUUGACUGGCUCACCCCCAGAUAUUAAUCAUUAACCAGGUGUCAGUUUAAAAUUCCAUGUGAAAUCGUUAAGGUCAAUAAAUGCAAAAAGGUCAAUUUACUAGAAGGAUUAAAUAAGAGUUUCCAUUUCACUGUUUAUAUAAUUUGAUAAAUUUGUAAGAACUUUUUUUUCAUAAAAGUAUGUGAACGUUAUAGGUUUCUCCACUGAAGGAAAAAAAGUUUGUAUUGUGUUAGUUCCAGUUACAAUUUCUAGCUGAGUUAAAGCUCUAACAGCCUUAAAGCAGGAAAUCCAAAAGGAAAUUCCAUCAUCAGUUCCUGGGGCUUGGUAACUCAAAGGUUCUUUGAAACAGAGAUAUAGAAGUUCUCCAACUAUUUACUAUAACCUUACCUCAUAUCUUCAAGCAAAUCACAUUCUGCUUGAUGUUUGGCUUGAAGUUUUGUCAUCUGUUCAACUUGAAUGUUUUUCAGUUCCUGUGUAACUUUCACCUGAAAUAUACCAUAUAUUUAUAAGGGCUUAACACAACUUUAAAAAAAUUAAGGAAAAUAUGUAAUACUUGUCAGAAUAUAUAACUGUUACUUGCCUCUCCUCUGAGGACCACAAUCCUGUUAUUAGCCACCUAAUUUUGUUUACUGCAGAUACUUAAUUUUAACAACUAGCCAAAAUAACCUGAAG